AUAAUAAGAAACAUUACCUUAAUGGAAUUAUUUUACUAAAUACUCAAACUCUUGAUUCGGGUUCACAAAUCAUGAGAAUAGUUUUAAAGUUACUUUACAAUUUUAUACUCUAUCCUUUCAACUUAACGUAAGUUUUCAAACGACAAAGAUUCUCAGCUCUAUUCCUCUCAACUGCUUAAGCAGUAACUAUCCAACAAUUUGUCAAACACUAUCUUGUAGCGAACAGCCUAAGUUAGUUAAGGGGGAGUUUGAACUCGGCCAACGCAAGUACUGCCACUUAAGUGAUCUGUCCAGAUGUCUAAGUUGUAAAAUCGAUUAAUUUGUCUCUAAGACUUGCUGUCGUUGUUCGGUUUAAGGUGGAACUGUCUGUGGCAAGUAACUUAAUAAGGAAAUCUGGUUUAAGUGACUUUAUGAGAAACUAAUAGUCCUUUGUAAUUUUAGAAAUAGAAGUGCACCAUUCACAACGUAUGUAUAUGAUUUUAAGAAAUGUGAAAUUAGCUGCCACUUGUCAGUUUUCUAACGGAAUUAUUGUGAGUUAAAAACUUUAGGUAGAAGUACUGUCGAAAUACUCCUUUAAUUUUCUUUUUGUUUGUCUUUUACGCUUUACUUUUCAAGAAGGGGAAAAUUGUCGAUUUAACAUUUUUUUAUGUUCCUAACCUCAGAACCUCGUAUUUUGUUGAUUAUUUGUUGUGAUAUAGCUGUCAUUUGAUCUUGUAAAAAAAUCCAUUAAUUACGGCUCAGUAGUUUAGUUAUUAGAAAUCGGUUGUAGCAUGUACCUACGUCUUUGAUGUUAUAACAACAUUAUCAUCAUCAUCAUUGAUAUUAUUAAGCAACUCAAUUCUUAAACAAUCUCUUUUCAAGUAAUGCCAAUUAGUAGGUCCCUAGAAUAACUAUGUUUUCAGAAACCAGUUUGAACAAGCAUGAAGGUGGAACUACAGCCAACAGCUGAUGAACCAGUCAGACUCAGGAUGCUUCAUAUUGUCGUCUAGACAGCAGAAAACUUUAAAGCCCGGAUCCUCCAUUGUCUAGAACGAGGCAUAGUGAAGUUAAGAGUUGGUGCUUAUAGAAAAGAAGAUUUAUCCACAGAGCAGUUGGUGACUGGGACACAUUUAUUUUGAGGUGGCGAGUUCAAAAACGACAAAAGGCGUUCACUUGGUUAUAUUAUGUGUGCUGCAACUUAAAUUCGCGACACUGACAAUUUAUUAAUAAAUUGAUAUUGUUUA
Molecule: long non-coding RNA, 1223 nt
Organism: Trichoplusia ni (cabbage looper)
Lineage: Eukaryota; Metazoa; Arthropoda; Insecta; Lepidoptera; Noctuidae
Exons: 3
Source: RefSeq, a predicted model, not a curated record